GAGGGUGUAGCUCAGUGGUAGAGCACAUGCUUAGCAUGCACGAGGUCCUGGGUUCAAUCCCAGGCCCAUUUA
Molecule: transfer RNA, 72 nt
Filed under: Camelus bactrianus (Bactrian camel)
Lineage: Eukaryota; Metazoa; Chordata; Mammalia; Artiodactyla; Camelidae
Also listed under: 2 other names
Rfam family: tRNA
About the family: Transfer RNA (tRNA) molecules are approximately 80 nucleotides in length.
Source: Rfam by way of RNAcentral